AGUGAACGCUGGCGGUAGGCCUAACACAUGCAAGUCGAACGGCAGCACAGUAAGAGCUUGCUCUUACGGGUGGCGAGUGGCGGACGGGUGAGGAAUACAUCGGAAUCUACUUUUUCGUGGGGGAUAACGUAGGGAAACUUACGCUAAUACCGCAUACGACCUACGGGUGAAAGCAGGGGAUCUUCGGACCUUGCGCGAUUGAAUGAGCCGAUGUCGGAUUAGCUAGUUGGCCGGGUAAAGGCCCACCAAGGCGACGAUCCGUAGCUGGUCUGAGAGGAUGAUCAGCCACACUGGAACUGAGACACGGUCCAGACUCCUACGGGAGGCAGCAGUGGGGAAUAUUGGACAAUGGGCGCAAGCCUGAUCCAGCCAUACCGCGUGGGUGAAGAAGGCCUUCGGGUUGUAAAGCCCUGUUGUUGGGAAAGAAAAGCAGCAGGUUAAUACCCCGCUGUUCUGACGGUACCCAAAGAAUAAGCACCGGCUAACUUCGUG
Molecule: ribosomal RNA, 492 nt
Filed under: uncultured bacterium
Lineage: Bacteria
Description: partial 16S ribosomal RNA
Rfam family: Bacterial small subunit ribosomal RNA
Source: RNAcentral